This 253-nucleotide ribosomal RNA is filed under the name uncultured bacterium. Its description in RNAcentral is "partial 16S ribosomal RNA". It matches the Rfam family "Bacterial small subunit ribosomal RNA", at positions 524 to 776 of the family's 1533-position model. The record is from RNAcentral.
UACAGAGGUCUCAAGCGUUGUUCGGAUUCAUUGGGCGUAAAGGGCGCGUAGGCGGCCUUCUAAGUCGGACGUGAAAUCCCUCGGCUUAACCGAGGAACUGCGUCCGAUACUGAAAGGCUUGAAUCCGGGAGAGGGAUGUGGAAUUCCAGGUGUAGCGGUGAAAUGCGUAGAUAUCUGGAGGAACACCGGUGGCGAAGGCGGCAUCCUGGACCGGCAUUGACGCUGAGGCGCGAAAGCUAGGGGAGCAAACGGG